Long non-coding RNA from Gorilla gorilla gorilla (western lowland gorilla), 3904 nucleotides. RefSeq lists it as uncharacterized. NCBI's taxonomy places the organism in Eukaryota, Metazoa, Chordata, Mammalia, Primates, Hominidae. The record is from RefSeq and is a predicted model, not a curated record. The transcript is spliced from 4 exons.
GAGCUGAAAAAAUCAAUAUCCCUGAGCCUAAAAAGAUCAGAAUACAGCCAUACACUAUUACAAAAUGUCAAGAAAAGAAGAUAGGAGGUGAAGACUGAACCCAUUUGCCUUUGAGGGAGCAGGACACUUGGACAGCAUUCUCACUCUUUGUGGCCAAAUGAAUUCAUCUAUUUCUUAUAAUCUUCUUAAUGGUAAAAUAUCUGCAUGUGUAAAAAAUUAUUGUUUUAUAUAUUUACACACACACAUAUAUUCAAAUGAAUGCAUGUAGAUAUACGACUACACUAGUAUCUGUGGGAAAAAGAGAAAAAAAUCCUUUAUGAGAGAUGAAGUAUAAAAAAUCAGAAUGGAAUUCAGAGUUGCAAAGUGGAUGCUUUUUUAGAAGAUUGAACGGAAGAAAAUGAUCAGACUGAAAUUAGCUGGAUUGGAACAAUGCUUUCUAAAAAGUGACCUAUUCUGAGAUGGGAAGAUCAUACCCUUUCAAGAAGAGACAAUCAGCUUUUGUGUGUUAUGUCAUUGUAAAAGCCACUUAGAGAAACGCAGCCCAGCACUUGCUUUUGAGAGGAGAUGGUAAGACGACAAAACGAUGAACUUAAUGGACUAUCAGAUAUUUUUAAAUAGCAUUUUUCAUUUUAAAUGUGGAUCCAAAACCAAUGCUUAUAGAAUGAGGGCUGAAAGCUUUAGUUCAAACCAGCAAGGCCUUCUCCAGUAUCUGCACCGAAAGCUCUCUGACAAGAAUACACUUGAUUUUCAACCAGCAAGAGACUAGUUACUCCAUUUAGGGAAAUGACAUCCUGAUGACCUAAAAUUACCCUUGCAGUUUCUGCAGACUGUAGCUUCAGCAAUGUGUCUAUUCCGGGUUGCACAAAAAAAGAGUUUCGCUAUGGCUUUUGGAAAACCCUUCCUGGGGAGUAUCAUGCUUUUCCCAGCUUCUUUGCUAAAGGUGACAUGAAUGUCUAUCAACAUGGCACUUACCAGCCACCAGGGUUGGUAAUUCAUGCAUUCAGGAAGAGUUUGUGAAUGUUUACCAUGUGCCAGACUCUGUGUUAGAUGCUGGUUAUACAGACUAAAAAUAUAGUGUCUGUCCUCAACAGCUUAACACCCUUUGGGAAGGAGAGUCAAGUAAACAGACAAUUAGAAUACAGCAGAGCGAUGGCCAGCUAACUGGAUUCCUGAAAAUGUGUUUGACUUCAUCCUAUCCUCUCUUUUCUCAUUCAUUUCCUAACACUGCAGUCUGGCCCAGGCUCCUGCCUGAUACUGAUCUUCCAGGACUACACAACCUUCCAAUCCAAUGGCCAGUUUAACCUGCACCACACCCAUUUUCCAACAGUAUUUGUCACUUUGCAUCACCCACUAACUUUCUCAAUUAUCUCUUUUCUUGGUUCCCAGGACUGUGCAAUAUCUUGAAUUUUCUCCUUAUAAUUUUGAAAAAAACAAUUCUUUCUAAGUUUCCUCAUGUAGAGUCAUUUCCAUUAUUUAGCCCCUAAAUGUUAAGACUACAUAGAAUUUUGUUAGUUCUUUCGAUAUGUGCUUUCUUUAUAUAAUUUCAUCUCUUAGCCUCCCAAACAAAACAGAACCUCCAAAUCACUCCCAUAUAUAUUCCAUUGUCAGUUUUGUCCAUGAGAUUUUGGAAAUGCCUCCAAGCUUCCAUUCAAGAUGGUAAACGGAGCUUAUAUAUUUAACUACACCACAGUAAAUUUCCAUUUAUAUUCACAGUGUUAUGUAAAAACAUAUACAUUUUAAAAAACUGCAUCAGCGUUACCAAACAGGGAAGGAUGCCAUUCACAUAUUCAAUAUUGUGAGGGUGUUUUUCCAAGAUUUAUUAUAGGUCUUGGAUUACUAAAUUGAAAAAUUACUAGCCUAUGAUUCAAUGUAUGGGAAGGCAAUCCCCCAGAUCUCCAAAACACUCGUGGCAGAAUUGGAGAAAUGGGUAAGACCUGGGCAAUCAAGAGAGUCCAAAUCUCACAAUUUGAAUGACUUCAGCAUGGACACCAGGAAAAUCCUUGAGAGUCCCAGGCUUGGACUCUUACUCUGGGGCUCUUUGACCAUAGACAGUCUCACGAAUAAUGCCAAAUAAAAUGGGGACAUUUUCUCAACAAGCCACUGACAUUGGCCUGUCUACUCUGUUCUAUUUCCUGUACUUUUACAUUGCCAGAUAAAGAUACCAGUCCUUGUAAGUGAGGAGUAGGAAGGGAGCUAAAGUUACAGGCAUUCAUGCAGUAGGAAGGUUUGAUUCUUCUGACAUGGGUUUAUUUCUCUGUUUGUGGAUGUUUGUCACUUGCAUCUGUUGUAGCAGCCAGCGUUUAUCAGGGACUCAGUUAUUGUUUAUUGGGCAAUGCAAAUGUCCAUGUUGUGAGACUCUUACAGGAAGGCUUCCUCCAAAACCAGGCACACCAACAGGGCAAGCUCUGUGUGCCUCUGUCCACUCUCUGCUCCAAUUACAUUUCUAAAAGAUCAAACUUGACCCCAAUGCCCCACCCCUUCUCCUCCAGCUCCUGCUGCCUGCACUGAUGGACCCUACUGCCUGGUUGGCAUAUCACUUGGUUUACAGCAACUGGAAAGAGGAAUAUAAUGUAACAAACCUUGCUGCUAUUUACAAGAUAGUUGUUUCUUUGUUUUUACUCCCUCAAGUUGGUUGUAACACUGAAGUUAGCUGGGCUACUGCCUCAUAUCCCUAAUUGAAAUGACUUUGCUCAUUGCUGUGGUUUGAAUGUGUGUGCCAUGGUUUGAAUGUGUGUGCCACCACCCCCAAAUUAACAUGUUGAAGCCUAGUCACCAAUGCGAGGCUACUAGAAGGCAGGGCCUUUGGGAGGUGAUUAGAUAAUGAGGGUGGAACCUUCAUAAAUGGGAUUACGACCUUAUAAAAUAGGCCCAGAGAGCUGCCUUUUCCCUUUUAUCCUAUGGGGACACAGUAAGAGGACGCCAUCUAUAAAUCAGAAAGCAGAGUCUCACCAGAUACUGAAUUUGCCAGUGCCCUGAUCAUGGACCCUCCAGCCUUCAGAAUUGUGAGAAAUUUCUGUUGUUUAUAAGCUACUUAUAUAAGCUAUAUGGCAUUUUGUGGUAGCAGCCCAAAUGGACUAAGACACUUAUCAACAAACCCUCUUCAGUAAAGUCCUACUUUAAAUAGUGUGCACCCUAUGCCACGGUGUAUCAGUCAAUUAUUACCAUAAUCAUUUUGUGUGACAAAUAAUCUCAAGAUCUUAAUGGAUUACAAAAGUAACUACUUAUUUUCCUUGCUUCUGUGAGUCAGGUAUGGCUUUACUAGGGUAGGAUGGGCUUGGCUACAGGUCAGAUUAGCAUCGUUCCAAUCAUUUUUUCUUUUGCAGGCAACAGACACCUGAGCCAUGUACUCCUCCUGAUGGAUCGCAGGAGCAUAAGAUGGUAAGCCGAAACACAGAAUACAUCGCAAAGCCCAUCCUUGAAACUAGGACACUGUCCAUCAGCUACAAGUCCUAUGAUUGAGUCCAUCAAAGGUGAAGUAGAUGGAACUCCAUAUAGACAAAAAUAAAGGUGACAGCACUUCUCACAAAACUGGGACAACUAACUCUUUAUCCAACAUCUGCUGGCUAAAUAAAGACAUGACCUUCACCUUUUGGGAUUGUUAAUUUAAAAUGGUUCCAUAAGAGCAAUGCAAAGACAGAGAUAUUUGGCAGCACUGCAGCUGGUGAUUUAUAUGGCUCUUCACAAGGUGUUACUUUGGGGUAUCAAGGUAUGGAUGCUUAAAUCAGCUGCAGGAAGUAAGAAAGAAGAAAAAAGGAGUGAUAAAGAUUAAAAAAAAUCAACCUUGGUCCUUCCACCAAGACCCAUUAAUUUCCAUAUCGUCAUCUGCAUAAGAGGGAAGAUUCCUACAUGACCAGGUUACUGCAAGGAUGUGAAUUUUGAAUAUUAAAAUAUUAUAUACAAUUGG